AAGGGAGCCUGAAGAGCUGGUCCUUAUACAGCUUUCUGAAAUCCCUGAGAUCUGUCAAUGAAUCGCGCAUCUUUCACUCCACAAGUAUUUGUUGAACGUCAUUGUGAUCAUGCUGGCUGCUGUGUGGAGAAAAGACCGAGGGGAAGUAAAAGAACAAAGAACAAAAGAGAACAUGAUGGCUUGGAUCAAGCCUGGUUCUUGACUAUCCCCUAAAAUUGUCAGUCAGUAGAAGCUCACUGAGUAUCAUCUGAAUUUAAAUCACCAUUAGCUCCCUUCUGAUGAAGCAGGAGUUGACUCAGCUGGGCUUUCAGCUGGACACGGAAAGCGGAGGUAGAUGAAUUGUCAUGAUCAAGUGGGUGUCAUCAAGUACUUAGAAAGGUUUCAUUUUGUUCCUACUGUCUUUCCAACUUACUAAUAAAAAUAUUGAAAUCUA
Molecule: long non-coding RNA, 433 nt
Filed under: Homo sapiens (human)
Lineage: Eukaryota; Metazoa; Chordata; Mammalia; Primates; Hominidae
Description: SLC60A2 divergent transcript (SLC60A2-DT)
Source: RNAcentral